CCUACGGGUGGCAGCAGUGAGGAAUAUUGGUCAAUGGACGAGAGUCUGAACCAGCCAAGUAGCGUGAAGGAUGACUGCCCUAUGGGUUGUAAACUUCUUUUAUAUGGGAAUAAAAUGUUCCACGUGUGGGAUUUUGUAUGUACCAUAUGAAUAAGGAUCGGCUAACUCCGUGCCAGCAGCCGCGGUAAUACGGAGGAUCCGAGCGUUAUCCGGAUUUAUUGGGUUUAAAGGGAGCGUAGGUGGAUUGUUAAGUCAGUUGUGAAAGUUUGCGGCUCAACCGUAAAAUUGCAGUUGAAACUGGCAGUCUUGAGUACAGUAGAGGUGGGCGGAAUUCGUGGUGUAGCGGUGAAAUGCUUAGAUAUCACGAAGAACUCCGAGUGCGAAGGCAGUUCACUGGACUGCAACUGACACCGAGGCUCGAAAGUGGGGGUAUCAAACAGGAUUAGAUACCCGAGUAGUC
This 460-nucleotide ribosomal RNA is filed under the name uncultured bacterium. RNAcentral describes it as "partial 16S ribosomal RNA". It matches the Rfam family "Bacterial small subunit ribosomal RNA", at positions 338 to 795 of the family's 1533-position model. The record is from RNAcentral.